RNAcentral lists this ribosomal RNA (253 nucleotides) under uncultured bacterium. RNAcentral's name for it is "partial 16S ribosomal RNA". It matches the Rfam family "Bacterial small subunit ribosomal RNA", at positions 524 to 776 of the family's 1533-position model. The record is from RNAcentral.
UACGUAGGGGGCAAGCAUUGUCCGGAUUUAUUGGGCGUAAAGCGCGUGUAGGCGGCCAGAUAGGUCUGCUGUGAAAACUCGAGGCUCAACCUCGAGCUGUCGGCGGAAACCAUCUGGCUAGAGUCCGGAAGAGGAGAGUGGAAUUCCUGGUGUAGCGGUGAAAUGCGCAGAUAUCAGGAAGAACACCUAUGGCGAAGGCAGCUCUCUGGGACGGUACUGACGCUGAGACGCGAAAGCGUGGGGAGCGAACAGG